UUGGAACUGAGUAAAAAGCUCCUUCCUUCUUGCCUAAAGUCAGGCAGCCCCUAAUAUUAGGGGCAGAUCAGAACUGGCUGGAAGAUACAGGUUCCAGUUUCAUUCCUCGUCAUCCUCCAGAAUCACCAAAUAUAGCUGUCCCGAGACAAAGCAGACCCCAUAUCACGGGAAAAGCCUCUGUAUCCCAUUCUCUAAUCUCUCUGAUCCCACGAGCACCAGAUCAGGGCCAGCAUCCCUCCUAUCCUAUUUGAGCUAAGUUCUGCUCUGCAAAGAGCUGGGUUGCUAUUGCAAACAAUUCUCUUCGGAAGCAUACGAACAUGAGUCCCCAACUCCUUGUACUACACUUCAUGAGCACCACGGGAAACUGAUUAGAAAGCAGCUCCUAAUUAAUCCUGGGGAUAAUACACCUUGCAACUAGGCAACAAAGGAGAUCAUUAAAUAACAGCGAACCAAGGAACCACCAGACAAUGAAUGAGCUGAGACAGGAGACAAUUACACGCUAAUGGUUUGGCUUAGCGGCAGGGACACAGUGCAAAACUCGACAAACUCCUACUAACAUCAGUGUGACACCCACCAGCUUCACGGAAAGCUUGGAGUCAUGUCUGCGGUGAGGGCGCACUGGCUACUGUGAACUACACUCCCAAAGCAGUGAGGCUGGGGAAGGGGUUUCGGCCUGACUGACUCCCCUGGAGUGAUGUAGCUUUAUGCUACCUGGGUAACUAGUUCAUUGAUGCCAAGCGAGCACGAUGAUAUACAGCAAGUGGGAAUCUUCUCCCCCUUCAACAUCCAGGAAAGGCACGGACAAUUUACAGCAGGUGUAAGGGAAAGCAAAAGUUCUCACUGCCAGGGAUUUUGCUCUUCUCUCAUCAUUCACGGUGCUUAAUUUUAUUCUUGUGAAUUGAGAAUGUUCUGGGAUAUGCAGCAGCUGGCCUUAUCAAAUACAAAUAUAAAUAGAGAUAGAAGAGACAUGAGAAGAUGUAGGCUUUCCCCUAAACCUGACCCCAUGACUUGCUCAGGAUAGUACGUGGCUUCAGGCCCACCCGUGCAUUUAAAACAUCGAAUCAGGUUCUCAGGAGGUGUAAAUUUGAUGAGUUGGGUAAGGCCCGGUGGCUGCGCACACGGGGCCCACUGCACUGUCCUACCCGGUGGGGGACCGCUGUGCUUAGCGCGGCACAAGCAAGGACAUACGGGGAGGCGGUGAUGCAGACAGGGGCUGCGCGCUGGAUUCCUGGAGCACGUGCUGGCAAUGAGAUGCCGGCCUGGACGAGAUUGCCGUUCCCGGGUCCCCUCGAUACCCCCACCCCUCCCGGGCCCGUGGGCACAGAUCUGCUCCAGUCCAGCAUCCCCAACCGCCUGCCCUCUCACUGGGAGUGGGAGAGGGGGAGCAAAAGGGGAAGAGCUGUGGGAUGGGAAAAGGAUCAGGACCCGGGUAGGGGCCGGUUUGGAGCCAGGAUCUAGGGCGGGUGUCACGUGACGGUGUGACGUGUCCCACAGCCGGGGAGAGUGGCGCCCUCCGGUGCACCCAACGCCCGGGACGCUGGAGACCCGAGCGGGCGGAGCCGGAGCCAUGAGGCUGCUGCUGCCCGUGCUCUGCCUGCUCUGCGCCGUCUCCUCCUGCGGAGCCCAAGUGUCCCAGAGCCCCGAGGUGCUGGUGACCCGCGAAGGGGACCGCUCCACCAUGACCUGUACUUACUCCAACACUUACCAGACUUUCCAGUGGUACCGGCAGGCCCCCUCGGGGGAGAUCACCCACCUCCUCACUGUAGCCGCCGACCAGAAUGUCACGGCGGGGCGGAUCACGGGGGAGAGGCUGGAGAGCGGCACGAGGAGCGCCCUGCGCCUGGUCCCGCACGGCCUGGCGGACUCGGGCCGGUACCUCUGUGCGGUGGGUGCACAGUGACACGGGCGGAGCCGGCCGCCGCGCACAAACCCGCCCUCCCCUGGCAGCCCGGGCGGGCGGGACACCGGCAUUCCCUGUCAGCUUCAAGGAAGCCAGGUCUUUCCUGGGUGUAAGCUGUCCCCUUUCCCGUUGCACUUGCUGGUCCGCAUGAGGCUGCGGUCAGUGGAAGCGGGUCAAUUUGGAGCAGGGCCGGAAAUGGGCGGGUGUGAAAAGCCGAGAGCCAGUGCAGGGAGACGGGACGGGCUGGCCGCGGCGCACGGGGCCGAGAUGCGAGUGGAGGACGCGCGUGGACGAAAUGGAGAGUCUCCCUGCAUCCAGCGGCGAGAGGAGGUCAUGGCCCCCGGGCGCCGGCGGGCGGGGUGGAGCGGGGCGGGGCGGGCCGGGGCGGCGGCCGGCCCUUCAGAGGAGAAAAGGAGGGCCAGAGUCUCCCUUCGUCGGUCCCAAGCAGACCCUCCCCGGCCCGCAGCGCACGCUCCGUCCCGCUCUCCUGCGGGCUUCCGCGGCCAGAGGAAAAGGAGGCUGCUCCCAGGACGGCGGGAGCGGUCACGGCAGCUCCGGCAGGAUGAACAGCGCUGCGGGGAGUGGUCGGGAGGCGGCGAUGAGCGAGACCCGGGUCUGAGCUCUCCCCUCCGCGGGCCUGUUCUCCGCCCAACCCCCCGCGGGGCUGCAGCCCAGCCCAGCAGCUCCGUGCCUGCCCGCGGCUUCCCGCACCCGCGCUCCCAGCCCAUGGCCUCGCUCCCUCUCCCCACGAUCCGUACCGCUUUCUCCCCGCUCCUUUGUCCCCUUCCCCUCUGCUGCACCCCUCGGUCAUACCCGGAGGACAUCAUGGUUUAGAGGGGUGGGUUCCGCGAGCGGGACGAGCUCUCCGCCAACGUGUGAAGGACGGGAACAUUUCCCUUCAAGAGAAAAACGCAUUCUCUCCCCCUCCCUCCCUCUUAUGAUGUCAAUGACUCGGUGAAGACGUCACAAGCGGGGUGUUCUCCGUUCGCUGGGUCGCCCUGCCGUUGGUUCGUGCCCCCUACGUGCCAGGUGACGUGCCGCAGCGCCAAACUCUCCCGCCGGCCAAAAAAAGCGCGGAUGCAUCCCGACACCAGAGUCGCUUCGAGGACUCGAGCCCACAGUUGCUGGAGCCAUGAGGCUGCCUCUGCCCUUGGUCUCCCUGCUCUGCGCCUGUGAGUCUGCGCCUGGGGCGCCCCGGGCCCCGCACGCCCGGCUGGGGGACUCCGGGGAGGAGAGCGGAACCCGGCCCGGGCUUUGUUGGUCGGAGGAGGCUGCAUCCGCGGGAAGGGGACUCUGGGGAAGGGGCUUCCACUCUCUGCCGGGCACGCGCAGCCCCGCCGGGUGCUGGAGAGAAGCAGCGGGAGGCUGUGCCAUUUCUGAGCUCCCUUUCCUAUGUUUGGGUGAGAGACGCACGAUGAACAGGGAGGUUUGGACAGACGAGCCAGUGUUAGCGCUGAGAAAUACACCCAUACUGGAUGGACGGAUGGAGGAUGGAGGCAGAGGGGAGAAAUAAUUGUAGGUUGAAUGGUGGAGAGAGAGAACCUGUGAGGAGGACUCGGCAGAGCCUACAACAGCGAAGACCCCACAGAGGGGAAGACAGACAAGGCAGGUCUGACAUCCCCAGAACUGGCAGAUCGAUGCUGGAAUUCCGUCUU
Molecule: non-coding RNA, 3555 nt
Organism: Alligator mississippiensis (American alligator)
Lineage: Eukaryota; Metazoa; Chordata; Crocodylia; Alligatoridae
Source: the annotation of a RefSeq genome assembly